Molecule: ribosomal RNA, 497 nt
Filed under: uncultured bacterium
Lineage: Bacteria
Description: partial 16S ribosomal RNA
Rfam family: Bacterial small subunit ribosomal RNA
Source: RNAcentral
GAUGAACGCUGGCGGCGUGCCUAAUACAUGCAAGUCGAGCGAACAGACGAGGAGCUUGCUCCUCUGACGUUAGCGGCGGACGGGUGAGUAACAAGUGGAUAACCUACCUAUAAGACUGGGAUAACUUCGGGAAACCGGAGCUAAUACCGGAUAAUACAUCGAACCGCAUGGUUCAAUAGUGAAAGACGGUUUUGCUGUCACUUAUAGAUGGAUCCGCGCCGCAUUAGCUAGUUGGUAAGGUAACGGCUUACCAAGGCAACGAUGCGUAGCCGACCUGAGAGGGUGAUCAGCCACACUGGAACUGAGACACGGUCCAGACUCCUACGGGAGGCAGCAGUGGGGAAUCUUCCACAAUGGGCGAAAGCCUGACGGAGCAACGCCGCGUGGGUGAUGAAGGUCUUCGGAUCGUAAAACUCUGUUAUUAGGGAAGAAAAAAUGUGUGAGUAACUAUGCACGUCUUGACGGUACCUAAUCAGAAAGCCACGGCUAACUACGUG